UGCGUCGGUGCGUGCAGGAGGUCGAAACGAGAGCCCGUCCGGCCCAGGUUACUUGCCCUCGGUCAGUAAGGCCCACACGUGUUCUUGUUCCGGGCCUUACAGCUCGGCAGGCUCUGGGCGAGAUUCAAGAGGUUGAACUCGAACCAAGCUAAACCCAGUCUUUAGGGCUCCUUCAGACCAGACAUCUCCUCUUCACGUUUCUUCAAAAAAAAAAAAAAA
RNAcentral lists this long non-coding RNA (219 nucleotides) under Zea mays. RNAcentral describes it as "long non-coding RNA NONZMAT000009". Lineage: Eukaryota; Viridiplantae; Streptophyta; Magnoliopsida; Poales; Poaceae. The record is from RNAcentral.